Molecule: ribosomal RNA, 445 nt
Filed under: uncultured bacterium
Lineage: Bacteria
Description: partial 16S ribosomal RNA
Rfam family: Bacterial small subunit ribosomal RNA
Source: RNAcentral
GUGAGGAAUAUUGGUCAAUGGGCGAGAGCCUGAACCAGCCAAGUAGCGUGAAGGAUGAAGGUCCUAUGGAUUGUAAACUUCUUUUAUAGUAGAAUAAAGUGAUCCACGUGUGGAUUUUUGUAUGUAUACUAUGAAUAAGGAUCGGCUAACUCCGUGCCAGCAGCCGCGGUAAUACGGAGGAUCCGAGCGUUAUCCGGAUUUAUUGGGUUUAAAGGGUGCGUAGGCGGAAUAAUAAGUCAGUUGUGAAAGUUUGCGGCUCAACCGUAAAAUUGCAGUUGAUACUGUUAUUCUUGAGUGUACAUAAGGUAGGCGGAAUUCGUGGUGUAGCGGUGAAAUGCUUAGAUAUCACGAAGAACUCCAAUUGCGAAGGCAGCUUACCGGGGUACAACUGACGCUGAGGCACGAAAGUGUGGGUAUCAAACAGGAUUAGAUACCCCAGUAGUCC